Molecule: ribosomal RNA, 253 nt
Filed under: uncultured bacterium
Lineage: Bacteria
Description: partial 16S ribosomal RNA
Rfam family: Bacterial small subunit ribosomal RNA
Source: RNAcentral
UACAGAGGGUGCAAGCGUUGUUCGGAAUUACUGGGCGUAAAGGGCGCGUAGGCGGUUUGGUAAGUCAGAUGUGAAAGCCCGGGGCUCAACCCCGGAAGUGCAUUUGAAACUACCAGACUAGAGUGCAGUAGAGAAUGGCGGAAUUCCCAGUGGAGAGGUGAAAUUCGUAGAUAUUGGGAAGAACACCGGUGGCGAAGGCGGCUCACUGGCUCAUUACUGACGCUCAGGCGCGAUAGCGUGGGGAUCAAACAGG